This 314-nucleotide ribosomal RNA is filed under the name uncultured bacterium. Its description in RNAcentral is "bacterial SSU rRNA". It matches the Rfam family "Bacterial small subunit ribosomal RNA", at positions 774 to 1079 of the family's 1533-position model. The record is from RNAcentral.
AGAGAAUAGAUACCCGGGUAGUCCACGCCGUAAACGGUGGGAACUAGGUGUUGGCGACAUUCCACGUCGUCGGUGCCGCAGCUAAACGCAUUAAGUUCCCCGCCUGGGGAGUACGGCCGCAAGGCUAAAACUCAAAGGAAUUGACGGGGGCCCGCACAAGCGGCGGAGCAUGUGGCUUAAUUCGACGCAACGCGAAGAACCUUACCAAGGCUUGACAUACACCGGGAAAGCAUUAGAGAUAGUGCCCCCCGUUCGUGGUCGGUGUACAGGUGGGUUGCAUGGCGUGUCGUCAGCUCGUGUCGUGAGAUGUUGGG